AGCCCUGUAGUCUAGCGGUCUAGGAUUCGACCCUUUGGCGGUCGAGACCCCGGUUCGAAUCCGGGCGGGGCUA
RNAcentral lists this transfer RNA (73 nucleotides) under Candidatus Pacearchaeota archaeon. RNAcentral's name for it is "tRNA-Gln". It matches the Rfam family "tRNA". From Rfam's summary of the family: Transfer RNA (tRNA) molecules are approximately 80 nucleotides in length. Their secondary structure includes four short double-helical elements and three loops (D, anti-codon, and T loops). Lineage: Archaea; Nanobdellati. The record is from RNAcentral.